This 603-nucleotide long non-coding RNA is filed under the name Sarcophilus harrisii (Tasmanian devil). RNAcentral's name for it is "lncRNA (ENSSHAG00000021885.1)". The record is from RNAcentral. Lineage: Eukaryota; Metazoa; Chordata; Mammalia; Dasyuromorphia; Dasyuridae.
CUGAGUGGGAGUCCUUGGAAGAAGUGUGAUGGAGCAUUGCAGUGGGACCUCCAGAAGCUGAACCUGGACAAGAGAAAAAUACCUGAGGUAUAGUAACAGCUCUGAAAUUCCACUUUCAACAUCACUGGAAGGACAGGCUGGUCUCUCUCUACAAGUGCUGAGUGGCAAUGCCAGUAAGUUCCAUGGAGAAGCUCUUCCUGAGGGAUUCAACCUAGAACCCAGAGCCAGACCUUUCAGCAUCUUGAGUGAGAACCCUGCUGAGAAAUUACCUAGCAAGAUCAUUGUACCCAGGGGGACGCCUUCCUUUUCGCCCCAGAGGGAGCCUGGACUUUUGGAGAGGGCUGCGCAGGACUUCCCGCGGCCUCCAGCUCCUGGCUGCGUCCUUGGCGUUGCUGUCAUGGACACAGGAUUAAUUCACCAAGCUGUCUACUCCACAGCCCAACACUGUCCACACCAUUGCCUCGUACUGUCUACACCACAGCUUCUUAAACUGUGGUUUGUGACCCCUAAGGGGUCUCCUAACUGAAUGUGGGGUCAUGAAAUUAUGAUUUAUUAUCAGUAAAUGUUGGAUUUGUAUGCCUAUUUUAUAUACCUCUAUCCCCA